AUUCUUAAUUAAUUAUGGUAAUAAAAAGUCCUACAUUUCAGUCGGUGAAACCUGCAGAAAGCAUUGCUUUCUGAGCUUUGUUAAAUGUUCCUUAAAUACCUGUUAGUUAUGGAUUUCUAGUAUAUUUUGUCAGGCUAAAACUCUCAAUGGAUUAUCCAUUAUUACAGACUUGAGCUUUCUAUUUUUUUCUUUAAAAUACAUAUUCCUCUGCUGUAAAGAUGUUGGGGUUUUUUGGACUCUUCUUUGUUGUCCCCAAAUAAUUGUAGCUCAGAAACAAUAUUGAAGUUCAUUGGUUUAAUUUUGAAAUGUUGAUGUUUUUUGUGUUGAUUGUUUGUGCUCAUUUUGACCUAUGUUACUAUUGCUUUCUACCAUGUUCAAUUCACCAUUGUUCUGCACAUAUGUGCUUGCAUACAAGUGUCCAGUGGUUAUAUUCAUGAGGCAUUCAAGGGACUUGUACUAAAAGAUACAACUCAGUUCAGUAUGAAUUGCAUAUUUUAAUGGCUGAAAAUAUAUCUGAUCUCUUUCAGAACAUCACCUGUCUGUAAUCCACCUGCGUAAGUACUGGUCAAGGGGCUCAUCGGCUAUCAAGUUAUAGAUUGCAGUGGCUAAUAGAAGACACUGCUGAGGUCAGACGAGAGUGCAUCCUCAAAGGUCUGUGUGUACCUAAAUGAAGAUCCAGAGAAGCUGGUGAGGGAGUACAUGGACGUUGAUGAAUGAAAUGGCCAAAGCCGAGACUGUCCUCGGAAUCGUCAUUUGAGCAGAGGCUGCCGAUGCACAUCUGGAUGUUGGGAUUGUCCUGGAGGAGGUGGAAGUUAUGAACAGCUUGGGCAGUGUAUCUUCUGCAAUAGUGAUGCUGCUGGGACUAAUCUACGCACUAAACUUGAGCUACCCUCAAGUUUAGUGCGUUCAGCACUCAACUUGCUCAGUAACUCAAGCAUACCUUUGAAGUAAUACAGAAAAUAAUAAUGAAAUUGGAUGGAA
Long non-coding RNA from Poeciliopsis prolifica (blackstripe livebearer), 981 nucleotides. RefSeq lists it as uncharacterized. The record is from RefSeq and is a predicted model, not a curated record. The transcript is spliced from 3 exons. Lineage: Eukaryota; Metazoa; Chordata; Actinopteri; Cyprinodontiformes; Poeciliidae.